Molecule: ribosomal RNA, 490 nt
Filed under: uncultured bacterium
Lineage: Bacteria
Description: partial 16S ribosomal RNA
Rfam family: Bacterial small subunit ribosomal RNA
Source: RNAcentral
AUUGAACGCUGGCGGCAGGCCUAACACAUGCAAGUCGAACGGUAACAGGAAGAAGCUUGCUUCUUUGCUGACGAGUGGCGGACGGGUGAGUAAUGUCUGGGAAACUGCCUGAUGGAGGGGGAUAACUACUGGAAACGGUAGCUAAUACCGCAUAACGUCGCAAGACCAAAGAGGGGGACCUUCGGGCCUCUUGCCAUCGGAUGUGCCCAGAUGGGAUUAGCUAGUAGGUGGGGUAACGGCUCACCUAGGCGACGAUCCCUAGCUGGUCUGAGAGGAUGACCAGCCACCCUGGAACUGAGACGCGGUCCAGACUCCUACGGGAGGCAGCAGUGGGGAAUAUUGCACAAUGGGCGCAAGCCUGAUGCAGCCAUGCCGCGUGUAUGAAGAAGGCCUUCGGGUUGUAAAGUACUUUCAGCGGGGAGGAAGGGAGUAAAGUUAAUACCUUUGCUCAUUGACGUUACCCGCAGAAGAAGCAGCGGCUAACUCCGUG